This is a non-coding RNA of Trichonephila clavata, 73 nucleotides long. Lineage: Eukaryota; Metazoa; Arthropoda; Arachnida; Araneae; Nephilidae. The record is from the annotation of a GenBank genome assembly.
GUCCUUGUAGCAUAAUAUAUAGCACGUUGAACUUUUAAUUCAAAGGUCGUGGGUUCGAAUCCCACCGGGGAUG